GACGAACGCUGGCGGCGUGCUUAACACAUGCAAGUCGAACGGAAAGGCCCUGCUUUUGUGGGGUGCUCGAGUGGCGAACGGGUGAGUAACACGUGAGUAACCUGCCCUUGACUUUGGGAUAACUUCAGGAAACUGGGGCUAAUACCGGAUAGGAGCUCCUGCUGCAUGGUGGGGGUUGGAAAGUUUCGGCGGUUGGGGAUGGACUCGCGGCUUAUCAGCUUGUUGGUGGGGUAGUGGCUUACCAAGGCUUUGACGGGUAGCCGGCCUGAGAGGGUGACCGGCCACAUUGGGACUGAGAUACGGCCCAGACUCCUACGGGAGGCAGCAGUGGGGAAUAUUGCACAAUGGGCGGAAGCCUGAUGCAGCAACGCCGCGUGCGGGAUUACGGCCUUCGGGUUGUAAACCGCUUUCGCCUGUGACGAAGCGUGAGUGACGGUAAUGGGUAAAGAAGCACCGGCUAACUACGUGCCAGCAGCCGCGGUGAUACGUAGGGUGCGAGCGUUGUCCGGAUUUAUUGGGCGUAAAGGGCUCGUAGGUGGUUGAUCGCGUCGGAAGUGUAAUCUUGGGGCUUAACCCUGAGCGUGCUUUCGAUACGGGUUGACUUGAGGAAGGUAGGGGAGAAUGGAAUUCCUGGUGGAGCGGUGGAAUGCGCAGAUAUCAGGAGGAACACCAGUGGCGAAGGCGGUUCUCUGGGCCUUUCCUGACGCUGAGGAGCGAAAGCGUGGGGAGCGAACAGGCUUAGAUACCCUGGUAGUCCACGCUGUAAACGGUGGGUACUAGGUGUGGGGUCCAUUCCACGGGUUCCGUGCCGUAGCUAACGCUUUAAGUACCCCGCCUGGGGAGUACGGCCGCAAGGCUAAAACUCAAAGGAAUUGACGGGGCCCCGCACAAGCGGCGGAGCAUGCGGAUUAAUUCGAUGCAACGCGUAGAACCUUACCUGGGUUUGACAUGGAUCGGGAGUGCUCAGAGAUGGGUGUGCCUCUUUUGGGGUCGGUUCACAGGUGGUGCAUGGCUGUCGUCAGCUCGUGUCGUGAGAUGUUGGGUUAAGUCCCGCAACGAGCGCAACCCUUGUUCACUGUUGCCAGCACGUUAUGGUGGGGACUCAGUGGAGACCGCCGGGGUCGACUCGGAGGAAGGUGGGGAUGACGUCAAGUCAUCAUGCCCCUUAUGUCCAGGGCUUCACGCAUGCUACAAUGGCUGGUACAGAGAGUGGCGAGCCUGUGAGGGUGAGCGAAUCUCGGAAAGCCGGUCUCAGUUCGGAUUGGGGUCUGCAACUCGACCUCAUGAAGUCGGAGUCGCUAGUAAUCGCAGAUCAGCAACGCUGCGGUGAAUACGUUCCCGGGGCU
This 1346-nucleotide ribosomal RNA is filed under the name uncultured bacterium. Its description in RNAcentral is "partial 16S ribosomal RNA". It matches the Rfam family "Bacterial small subunit ribosomal RNA", at positions 28 to 1381 of the family's 1533-position model. The record is from RNAcentral.